Molecule: transfer RNA, 71 nt
Organism: Ovis aries (sheep)
Lineage: Eukaryota; Metazoa; Chordata; Mammalia; Artiodactyla; Bovidae
Rfam family: tRNA
About the family: Transfer RNA (tRNA) molecules are approximately 80 nucleotides in length. Their secondary structure includes four short double-helical elements and three loops (D, anti-codon, and T loops).
Source: Rfam
UCCUAGUGGCUCAGAUGGUAAAGUGUCUGCCUAUAAUGCAGGAGACCCAGGUUCAAUCCCUGGGUCAGGAA